GCCGCUCGCUCGCUCGCUCCGGCCGAGAGGAAGCCAGGGCCGCUCGCUCGCUCGCUCCUGCUCCACGGCCUUCAUAUCUCCUGCAGGAAGAAAGAUCGUGAAAGAGAUAGUCGCCACCCCUACAAGGUACAAGCUGCUGCACCUGUAAGUAAAGGAGAACUCGGGAGGGCCACCUGG
Molecule: long non-coding RNA, 177 nt
Organism: Syzygium oleosum
Lineage: Eukaryota; Viridiplantae; Streptophyta; Magnoliopsida; Myrtales; Myrtaceae
Exons: 3
Source: RefSeq, a predicted model, not a curated record